This is a long non-coding RNA of Gallus gallus (chicken), 1706 nucleotides long. Lineage: Eukaryota; Metazoa; Chordata; Aves; Galliformes; Phasianidae. The record is from Ensembl.
UUUUGCUGGAGAUCCCUUCACACCUGAGGUUUUCUGAAGAGGAAGGCUUCGCUUUCAGGCAGCCAAGCAGAAAAACUCCAGGAGACAGUGCGCAAUUAACAAGUCUCUGGGGGCUGGCAGUGAGUUCUGCAAGGCUGAAAGCAAACUUGGUGUAACUGUUGGCACUCAAUCCACACGGGAAUAGUAAGUUCAUUUUUGUGUGCUUCCUGAUGCUUGCUCUGUGGCUGUGAGCUGAUAGAAGGCAACGCUUCAACUUCCUGAACUCUCCAAAUAAAGCAUCCAUUCUGGAUAGAAGUUUGCGAAGAAAGAAACACUGUACUUUCUGCCUCGGUUGAGCUUUCAUAUUUGGCCCUCUGAAUGAACAACUUUGGUUGUUAAACCAUUGAAAACUUAUUUCAAAAGGCUUGAAUGUAUCACAAGUAAAAUUAUCUUCAAUUGAAUGGCUUGGAGCAGCUCUGAGAAAUUUAUUUACAUAGCUGUUGUACUGUGCCACAGUUUGAAGAGCAUUCAGGCUUCCUCUUUAAUCUAAACUCUUUUUACUUAAAUAACUCACAAGUAACUUUAGUUUUCAUUAUUUCUGAGUUUCAUUCAAGAGAUUAUUAUGGCAAACCAGCAAUUAUUUAAAUUCUUGAAUUAACACAUAUAUUAGCUCUUACAGAGUGAGCUGUAUGAAAUGGCAAGCGAGCCUUGUUCCUGCAUAUAUGUCAUCGUGUGAGCGUGUGCAUAUGGAUAGUGACCAUGCAGAGCUCAUUCCUGUGCCCACGCGAAAACCUCACAGAGGUGACAUAUGUGAGAGAUGCUUGCUUUCAGGACCACUUCUCAUGUCAGGAAAAAUGUGUUUGCCUCCAGUGGAAAGGCUUUUGUAAAACUAGGUGCUAGGAAUUUAUAACAGGCUGAAUAAAGUGGGUAGAGCAGCAAUGAGUACUCUGUGUUCCGUUUUUCACAAUCUUGGUCAUAUACAGUUAAUUUACAUGAUUCACGAGACUCCUCUUGUUACCAAAUCACACUUCUUUGUCAGGCCUUUUUCCCCCCUGCAGGGUAUUUUUAAUUUUCACUGGAUGCUUGAUAUUCAUGGCACCAACACCAAUGCAUUGUUUCAAACAAUGGCAUAAAGAGUUAAUGCCUACGAUGGGGAAAAAAGGCAAAAAGAGUGCCCACAGCUAGCUAACUAUCAAGAAAUCAUCUAGUACUUGGCGUUUGCUAUAGGCAAAGUAAAACAAAGCACUAGCAGCAAUAAAUCAAUUCUUGCGUGCGGGUGUUGUCAACAUGGGCUGUUCUGGCUCUCUCUGAUCAGUUCUUAGGCCAAUAAUGCUCUUUUAUACUUCCAAAUGUUUUGAAAUGCCUCUGUGCUCAAGGAAGAUCUAAGCUGUCUCAGAUACAACCAUUCACAAGGUAAUGGGGUGUCUCCAGUUUGUGUGAGAAACUUCAUCAGGUGCCUUGAAAGCUAAGCAUUCCUCAAGUAUGCUGUAAUUAUACGUUGCUUGUGAUUAGGGUGUAAAAAGUACUCCAGCUACUGCUGGGCUCUAAGAUCAGAGCUGGAUUUUAAACACUGAAAUGUCUGCAAUGGGCUGAUCUUUGUUCUUUUUGUUUUCUUUACAUUAGAAAAAUGAGAAACAAAAUCAAGGCUUUGGAUCCAAAGAUACUGGGUUUUGGCCUAAUUCCACCUAUAGCUAUUGUACUGAAACAGUUCAAGGCAUUCCUCUCUU